CCUGGUUGAUCCUGCCAGUAGUCAUAUGCUUGUCUCAAAGAUUAAGCCAUGCAUGUGUAAGCACACACUGUUUUAAAAGUGAAGCCGCGAAUGGCUCAUUACAACAGCCACAGUUUAUUAGAACUUACAAUCAUGGAUAACUGUGGUAAUUCUAGAGCUAAUACACGCACAAAAACUUCAACUGAAUUGGUUGAAGUGCUUUUAUUAGAACAAAAACCGAACGGCGUUUGGCGAAUGUUUGAACGUCGAAACUGUUUGGUGAAUCUGAAUAACUAUUUCUGAUCGCAUGGUCUAGCACCGGCGACAUCACUUUCAAGUGUCUGCCUUAUCAACUUCGAUGGUAGUCUAUGCGACUACCAUGGUGAUAACGGGUAACGGAGAAUCAGGGUUCGACUCCGGAGAGGGAGCCUGAGAAACGGCUACCACAUCCAAGGAAGGCAGCAGGCGCGCAAAUUACCCACUCCCAGCUUGGGGAGGUAGUGACGAAAAUAACGAGACGAUUCUCGUUUGAGAAACGUUAUCGAAAUGAGUACGCUUUACACACGCUAACGAGUAGCAAUUGGAGGGCAAGUCUGGUGCCAGCAGCCGCGGUAAUUCCAGCUCCAAUAGCGUAUAUUAAAGUUGCUGCGGUUAAAACGCUCGUAGUUGAAUUGUGGUCUUAGACAACAGUCCCCCUACAUAGGUGUGGCACGGUUGCUCGAGAUCUUCAUUCGUGGUUGCUGUUGUUGCUCUUCAUUGAGUGUCAAUGGUGCCUCGAGAUUUUACUUUGAAAAAAUUAGAGUGCUCAAAGCAGGUUGUGAUGCCUGAAUAAUGGUGCAUGGAAUAAUAGAAUACGAUCUCGGUUCUAUUUUGUUGGUUUUCGAACCGGAGAUAAUGAUUGAAAGGAACAGACGGGGGCAUUCGUAUUGCUGCGUUAGAGGUGAAAUUCUUGGAUCGCAGCAAGAUGAACAAUUGCGAAAGCAUUUGCCAAGAAUGUUUUCAUUAAUCAAGAACGAAAGUUAGAGGUUCGAAGGCGAUCAGAUACCGCCCUAGUUCUAACGGUAAACUAUGCCAACCAGCGAUUCGCCGAAGUUCAUUUAAGACUCGGCGAGCAGCUUCCGGGAAACCAAAGUGUUUCGGUUCCGGGGAAGUAUGGUUGCAAAAGCUGAAACUUAAAGGAAUUGACGGAAGGGCACCACCAGGAGUGGAGCCUGCGGCUUAAUUUGACUCAACACGGGAAAACUCACCCGGCCCGACACUGGAAGAUUGACAGAUUGACAGCUCUUUCUUGAUUCAGUGGGUAGUGGUGCAUGGCCGUUCUUAGUUGGUGGAGCGAUUUGUCUGGUUAAUUCCGAUAACGAACGAGACUCUACCCUAUUAAAUAGUGACAGUAUUGUAUUUUUUGUGCUGAUCACUUCUUAGAGGGACUGGCAAAUUGAAAGCUGCACGAAAAAGAGCAAUAACAGGUCUGUGAUGCCUUCGAUGUCCGGGGCUGCACGCGCGCUACAAUGAAAGCGUCAACGUGAGUUACGUCCUUACCUGAAAAGGUUUGGCAAUCGAAUGAAACGUUUUCUUGAAUGGAAUAGGGAAUUGCAAUUGUUUCCCUUGAACGAGGAAUUCCCAGUAAGCGUGAGUCAUUAGCUCGCGUUGAUUACGUCCCUGCCCUUUGUACACACCGCCCGUCGCUACUACCGAUUGGAUGAUUUAGUGAGGUGUUUUGACUGGCGCCAGUAGUCGGAUGUAUUCGGCUUCGCGCCGGGAAAUUUCCCAAACCAAAUCAUCUAGAGGAAGUAAAAGUCGUAACAAGGUUUCCGUAGGUGAACCUGCGGAAG
This 1811-nucleotide ribosomal RNA is filed under the name Trichinella murrelli. RNAcentral describes it as "SSU rRNA". It matches the Rfam family "Eukaryotic small subunit ribosomal RNA". The record is from RNAcentral. Lineage: Eukaryota; Metazoa; Nematoda; Enoplea; Trichinellida; Trichinellidae.